GAUGAACGCUAGCGAUAGGCCUAACACAUGCAAGUCGAGGGGCAUCACAUGAAGUAGCAAUACGGAUGGUGGCGACCGGCGCACGGGUGAGUAACACGUAUGCAACCUGCCUUCAACAAGGGGAUAACCCGUUGAAAGACGGACUAAUACCCUAUAACACAGGGGUCCCGCAUGGGAAUAUUUGUUAAAGGACAACCGGUUGAAGAUGGGCAUGCGUUCCAUUAGCUAGUUGGCGGGGUAACGGCCCACCAAGGCAACGAUGGAUAGGGGAACUGAGAGGUUUAUCCCCCACACUGGUACUGAGACACGGACCAGACUCCUACGGGAGGCAGCAGUGAGGAAUAUUGGUCAAUGGACGCAAGUCUGAACCAGCCACGUCGCGUGAAGGAAGACGGCCCUACGGGUUGUAAACUUCUUUUGCAAGGGAAUAAAGUGGGCCACGUGUGGCCUUUUGCAAGUACCUUGCGAAUAAGGAUCGGCUAACUCCGUGCCAGCAGCCGCGGUAAGUACGCAGC
RNAcentral lists this ribosomal RNA (515 nucleotides) under uncultured bacterium. Its description in RNAcentral is "bacterial SSU rRNA". It matches the Rfam family "Bacterial small subunit ribosomal RNA", at positions 28 to 531 of the family's 1533-position model. The record is from RNAcentral.